ACUCCUCCAAUGCAGGGAAGGAUGAGAAGCUUCGACUAAGGUUCGAUUCGAGCGUAGCGAGAAAGCGUUGCCGCAGGCAACGACCCGAAGGGUGAGGAGCAAAGCGACGAAUUAUCCUUCCCCCACCACCA
This 131-nucleotide small RNA is filed under the name Leclercia adecarboxylata. Its description in RNAcentral is "RtT sRNA". It matches the Rfam family "RtT RNA". Rfam says of the family: This family represents a bacterial cis-regulatory element known as RtT RNA. Lineage: Bacteria; Pseudomonadati; Pseudomonadota; Gammaproteobacteria; Enterobacterales; Enterobacteriaceae. The record is from RNAcentral.